UUUACAAAAUUAACCGCCGCUCGAAACAACCCCGAAGGGGGCUUUCUAAUGGACCGCUCUCGGCCGUCCCCGCCGAAACCCGCGGUCGCCCGGCGGCCGCAUCUUUCCGGUACCAAUCCGGCUCGGGCUCGCGUCCGACAGCGACCGAUGCCAACCUGCCCAGAUCGGCCGGGUGGCCCGAUUCGGCGGAUCAGGCAAAGGCUCUGAUCGUACGGGCGGGCCGUUUGGGAGGACACGGCGGCUCCCACGUGGUGGUUCAUCGGAUAUUUCUGCUCGUGGCCAAAAUUUGAAUCGCCCGCCCGCUCCUGGGCGUUGGACAACGGGUGGGGGACAGCUGGCAGGCGA
RNAcentral lists this long non-coding RNA (345 nucleotides) under Spirodela polyrhiza (greater duckweed). Its description in RNAcentral is "long non-coding RNA (SPOL_LNC000602)". The record is from RNAcentral. Lineage: Eukaryota; Viridiplantae; Streptophyta; Magnoliopsida; Alismatales; Araceae.